UCGAAUGUUAAACAAUGGGGGAUGUUGCUGAUCCAUCAUGGAUAAUGUGCACUCCUCUGAAAUAUUCAAAUCCACCUGUGCACAUUGAGUAGGCAAACAGAUUGAGUUCUGUGGGCCUAUGUUACUUGUAUAAUCCUGUGAAAGAUGGUAUAUAUGAAAAGAAUAUUA
RNAcentral lists this unclassified non-coding RNA (168 nucleotides) under uncultured Basidiomycota. RNAcentral describes it as "sequence contains ITS1". Lineage: Eukaryota; Fungi; Basidiomycota. The record is from RNAcentral.